GACGAACGCUGGCGGCGUGCCUAAUACAUGCAAGUUGAGCGAUGAAGAUUGGUGCUUGCCCCAAUUUGAAGAGCAGCGAACGGGUGAGUAACGCGUGGGGAAUCUGCCUUUGAGCGGGGGACAACAUUUGGAAACGAAUGCUAAUACCGCAUAACAACUUUAAACAUAAGUUUUAAGUUUGAAAGAUGCAAUUGCAUCACUCAAAGAUGAUCCCGCGUUGUAUUAGCUAGUUGGUGAGGUAAAGGCUCACCAAGGCGAUGAUACAUAGCCGACCUGAGAGGGGGAUCGGCCACAGUGGGACUGAGACACGGCCCAAACUCCUACGGGAGGCAGCAGUAGGGAAUCUUCGGCAAUGGACGAAAGUCUGGCCGAGCAACGCCGCGUGAGUGAAGAAGGUUUUCGGAUCGUAAAACUCUGUUGGUAGAGAAGAACGUUGGUGAGAGUGGAAAGCUCAUCAAGUGACGGUAACUACCCAGAAAGGGACGGCUAACUACGUG
This 497-nucleotide ribosomal RNA is filed under the name uncultured bacterium. RNAcentral's name for it is "partial 16S ribosomal RNA". It matches the Rfam family "Bacterial small subunit ribosomal RNA", at positions 28 to 507 of the family's 1533-position model. The record is from RNAcentral.